UCAGAACUUCAUAAACUUCUUUUGCCGUGGACACACCCUUCAAGAGUUGUGAAGUCAAAUCAUACAGUAUAGAAGAUGCACAUUUUAGAAUGCUCAAUUAUAUUUUUCUUGAAGUGAAGAUGCUGUUCUAUAAACCUGUUUCUAUCAGAAAGUACCAUACUGAUUGGUGGCAGUUGGUGGCAGCCAGGUCUAUAGCUUGUUGGGCUAAUACUACUAGGACCAAGCAUUUUCUAAUGGGUAAUGGAGUUUGUCUAAUCUUGAAAGGUUGUGAUCAUCUCUGCUGUUUAUCAGAAUUAUAAAGUUGAUAUUCAAAAUAAAUGCAUGAUCGACUGCUUGAUUUGGAAUGAGAGAAUGUAUGUGAAAUUGCCUAUCAAAAAGAGGGAGAUUGGUGUUGCCACUUAAAAAGCUAAAAGGUGAUGAAGGUACCUAUGUAGUUUCAUACGCAUGCAAACAUUCAUGCAUUCAUGGAUGUAAAUAUGUACUUUGUUCUUUCUUAUGUUUCCACAUGUUGUUAUAUUCCAUAAAUGCUGAAAAAAGGUUAUGGUAGUGCAAUUUAUCA
Phoenix dactylifera (date palm) is the source of this 559-nucleotide non-coding RNA. NCBI's taxonomy places the organism in Eukaryota, Viridiplantae, Streptophyta, Magnoliopsida, Arecales, Arecaceae. The record is from RefSeq and is a predicted model, not a curated record.